GAUGAAGAACGUAGCGAAAUGCGAAAAGUAAUGUGAAUUGCAGAAUUCAGUGAAUCAUCGAAUCUUUGAACGCACAUUGCGCCCGCCAGUAUUCUGGCGGGCAUGCCUGUUCGAGCGUCAUUUCAACCCUCAAGCCCUCGGGUUUGGUGUUGGGGAUCGGCGAGCCUUUCUGGCAAGCCGGCCCCGAAAUCUAGUGGCGGUCUCGCUGCAGCCUCCAUUGCGUAGUAGUAAAACCCUCGCAACUGGAACGCGGCGCGGCCAAGCCGUUAAACCCCCAACUUCUGAAUGUUGACCUCGGAUCAGGUAGGAAUACCCGCUGAACUUAAGCAUAUCAAUAAGCGGAGGA
RNAcentral lists this unclassified non-coding RNA (346 nucleotides) under soil metagenome. Its description in RNAcentral is "partial contains 5.8S ribosomal RNA, internal transcribed spacer 2, and large subunit ribosomal RNA". The stretch from base 1 to 120 matches the Rfam family "5.8S ribosomal RNA", at positions 35 to 154 of the family's 154-position model. The record is from RNAcentral.